UACGGAGGGUGCAAGCGUUAUCCGGAUUCACUGGGUUUAAAGGGUGCGUAGGUGGGCUAGUAAGUCCGUGGUGAAAUCUCCAAGCUUAACUUGGAAACUGCCGUGGAUACUAUUAGUCUUGAAUCUCGUGGAGGUAAGCGGAAUAUGUCAUGUAGCGGUGAAAUGCUUAGAUAUGACACAGAACACCGAUUGCGAAGGCAGCUCACAAAACUAUAACUGACGCUGAGGCACGAAAGCGUGGGGAUCAAACAGG
RNAcentral lists this ribosomal RNA (253 nucleotides) under uncultured bacterium. RNAcentral's name for it is "partial 16S ribosomal RNA". It matches the Rfam family "Bacterial small subunit ribosomal RNA", at positions 524 to 776 of the family's 1533-position model. The record is from RNAcentral.